AUUGAACGCUGGCGGCAGGCUUAACACAUGCAAGUCGAGCGGGGUGAUGGUGCUUGCACUAUCACUUAGCGGCGGACGGGUGAGUAAUGCUUAGGAAUCUGCCUAUUAGUGGGGGACAACAUCUCGAAAGGGAUGCUAAUACCGCAUACGUCCUACGGGAGAAAGCAGGGGAUCACUUGUGACCUUGUGCUAAUAGAUGAGCCUAAGUCGGAUUAGCUAGUUGGUGGGGUAAAGGCCUACCAAGGCGACGAUCUGUAGCGGGUCUGAGAGGAUGAUCCGCCACACUGGGACUGAGACACGGCCCAGACUCCUACGGGAGGCAGCAGUGGGGAAUAUUGGACAAUGGGGGGAACCCUGAUCCAGCCAUGCCGCGUGUGUGAAGGAGGCCUUAUGGUUGUAAGGCACUUUAAGCGAGGAGGAGGCUUACCUAGUUAAUACCUGGGAUAAGUGGACGUUACUCGCAGAAUAAGCACCGGCUAACUCUGUGCCAGCAGCCGCCGUAA
This 503-nucleotide ribosomal RNA is filed under the name uncultured bacterium. RNAcentral's name for it is "partial 16S ribosomal RNA". It matches the Rfam family "Bacterial small subunit ribosomal RNA", at positions 30 to 523 of the family's 1533-position model. The record is from RNAcentral.